Non-coding RNA from Violaceomyces palustris, 104 nucleotides. NCBI's taxonomy places the organism in Eukaryota, Fungi, Basidiomycota, Ustilaginomycetes, Violaceomycetales, Violaceomycetaceae. The record is from the annotation of a GenBank genome assembly.
UCCCGCUUAACUCAGUGGUAGAGUGCGUCACUAGUAGUUCUUAAGACUUCCGACUCCAAUGAGUUGCCAUGACGAAGUCAGUCGUUCAAAUCGGCUAGUGGGAA